UUAAGCUACUAAGGGCUUACGGAGGAUGCCUAGGCACAAGUGAGCGAUGAAGGACGUGAUAAGCUGCGAUAAGCCACGGGGAGAAGCACGUAUUUAAUGAUCCGUGGAUGUCCGAAUGGGGAAACCCACCAUCAAUAUGGUAUCUUGAACUGAAUUCAUAGGUUCAAGAAGCGUACGAGGGGAAGUGAAACAUCUCAGUACCCUCAGGAAAAGAAAUCAACCGAGAUUUUCCUAGUAGUGGCGAGCGAACGGGAAAUAGUCUAAACCAUUUACAUGCAAUAGCUUCAAGGCGUUGUGUAUUUGGGGUUGCGAGACUUUCAGGAACUGCUUGAACAGUUCCACGAAGUUAAAAACUCUGUUCUAGUUUAAGGAUUUGGAAAAGUCCGCCAAAGAGCGUGAUAGCCGCGUGGAUGAAAGAACCAGAGUCUUCGGAAAGUAUCUCAAGUAUCACAGGGCACGUGAAACCCGGUGAGAAUCCAGGGAGACCACUCUCUAAGACUAAAUAUCCAUUUGUGACCGAUAGUGAACAAGUACCGUGAGGGAAAGGUGAAAAGAACCCCGAGAGGGGAGUGAAAUAGAAUACUGAAACCGUAAGCCUACAAGCUGUGGGAGCACUAUUUUUAAUGUGUGACCGCGUGCCUCUUGCAUAAUGAGCCAACGAGUUAUUGUUGCAGGCAAGGUUAAGACGUUGCAGUCGUAGCCGUAGCGAAAGCGAGUCUGAAUAGGGCGAUUUAGUCUGCAGUAAUAGACCCGAAACCCGGCGAUCUACUCAUGGUCAGGAUGAAGCGUAAGUAAUAUUACGUGGAGGUCCGAACCAGUUGAAGUUGAAAAUUCUUUGGAUGAACUGUGGGUAGGGGUGAAAGGCCAAUCAAGCUGGGUGAUAGCUGGUUCUCUUCGAAAUAUAUUUAGGUAUAGUCUCAAGUAACUGUAUCGCGGAGGUAGAGCACUGAAUGGGCUAGGGGUCUUUACCAGAUUACCAAACCCAACCAAACUCCGAAUGCCGUUGAUAUUUAUCUUGGGAAACAGUCGUGGGGAGAUAAGUUCCUAUGACGAGAGGGAAAGAGCCCAGACCGUCGGCUAAGGUCCCAAAAUGCACACUAAGUGUAAAACGUUGUGGAGCUACUGAAACAACUAGGAGGUUGGCUUAGAAGCAGCAAUCCUUUAAAGAAAGCGUAAUAGCUCACUAGUCUAGUGGUUCUGCGCGGAAGAUUUAACGGGGCUAAAGUGUGUUACCGAAGCUACGGCUGUAUGAAAAUUUGUUUUUUCAUACGGGGUAGAAGAGCGUUCUGGUGUAGGCUGAAGAUGGAUCGUGAGGACCAUUGGACGAACCAGAAGUGAACAUGUUGGCAUAAGUAGCGUACAAAUGCGGGUGAAAAACCCGCACGUCGUAAACUCAAGGGUUCCUGGGCUAGGAUAAUCCUCCCAGGGUUAGUCGGAUCCUAAGGCGAGGCCAAUUGGCGUAGUCGAUGGACACAAGGUUAAUAUUCCUUGACCAGAAUUAACGUGUGGUGUGGGAGUGACGGAGUAGGCAGUACCGGCCGGUUAUUGGAUUUCGGUGGGGGCUUCAAGGGCGUGUCGUAGGUAAAUCCGCGGCACAUUAAGUCUGAGGAGUCACGCGUGGGACCUAGUCCCUGAAGUGGUAUGAGCCAUGCUUCCAAGAAAAGCUUCAACAUUUGUUAAUUUUGUCCGUACCGUAAACCGACUCAGGUGAGUGAGAUGAAUAUUCUCAGACGAUUGAGUAAACUCUGGCUAAGGAACUCGGCAACUUGACACCGUAACUUCGGAAGAAGGUGUGCCCUCCUCGGAGGGUCGCAGUGAAAUGGGGGUAGCGACUGUUUAUCAAAAACACAGGCAUGUGCAAAGUCUCAAGACGACGUAUACAUGCUGACGCCUGCCCGGUGCUGGAAGGUUAAGAGGAUUUGUCAGCGCAAGCGAAGCAGAGAAUCGAAGCCCCAGUAAACGGCGGCCGUAACUAUAACGGUCCUAAGGUAGCGAAAUUCCUUGUCGGGUAAGUUCCGACNNUCCGACCUGCACGAAUGGCGUAACGACUUCCCCGGUGUCUCGGCCAGAUGCUCAGCGAAAUUGAAGUCCCAGUGAAAAUGCUGGGUGCCCGCAGAAAGACGGAAAGACCCCGUGAACCUUU
This 2143-nucleotide ribosomal RNA is filed under the name freshwater metagenome. Its description in RNAcentral is "bacterial LSU rRNA". It matches the Rfam family "Bacterial large subunit ribosomal RNA", at positions 3 to 2102 of the family's 2925-position model. The record is from RNAcentral.